CUGUCAUUAUGCCUAUGAGUUUGGAUAUGUAUUUUAAAUUAUCUUUGUAAUUAAAUCAAAAGAAUUUAUGAAAUUCUUAAACUGGUAAUGUCUGAUGAUAUCUAAAGGUAAGGUUAACUUGAUUAUAGUGGUACGGGAUAGUUUACUUUUAAAAUUAAAGUACAACUCUUGAAACUUUGAUAGCAUGAUUUGAUAUUUUCUCCCUUACU
This 209-nucleotide long non-coding RNA is filed under the name Carica papaya (papaya). Its description in RNAcentral is "long non-coding RNA (CPAP_LNC003406)". Lineage: Eukaryota; Viridiplantae; Streptophyta; Magnoliopsida; Brassicales; Caricaceae. The record is from RNAcentral.